This 65-nucleotide transfer RNA is filed under the name Trichogramma dendrolimi. RNAcentral describes it as "tRNA-Ala". The record is from RNAcentral. Lineage: Eukaryota; Metazoa; Arthropoda; Insecta; Hymenoptera; Trichogrammatidae.
AGGAAUAUAGUUAAAUAUAUAAUAUUUAUUUUGCUAAUAAAAGUUAUUUAAUAAAAUUAUUCUUA